This 480-nucleotide ribosomal RNA is filed under the name uncultured bacterium. Its description in RNAcentral is "partial 16S ribosomal RNA". It matches the Rfam family "Bacterial small subunit ribosomal RNA", at positions 28 to 523 of the family's 1533-position model. The record is from RNAcentral.
AAUGAACGUUGGCGGCGUGGAUUAGGCAUGCAAGUCGAGCGUGUACCCCGCAAGGGGGAAAGCGGCAAACGGGGUAGGAACGCGUAGGUCACGUACCCUUCGGCCGGGGAUAGCCACGGGAAACUGUGGGUAAUACCCGAUGACGCCGAGAGGCCAAAGGUGUGAUUCCGCCGGGGGAGCGGCCUGCGUAGUAUUAGCUAGUUGGCGAGGUAACGGCUCACCAAGGCGAAGAUGCUUAGGGGGUGUGAGAGCAUGAUCCCCACCACUGGGACUGAGAUACUGCCCAGACACCUACGGGUGGCUGCAGUCGAGAAUCUUCGGCAAUGGGGGCAACCCUGACCGAGCGACGCCGCGUGUGGGAUGAAGGCCCUUGGGUUGUAAACCACUGUCAGAGGGGAUGAAACGCCGAUGGGUCCUCCCAUCGGUCUGACAUAGCCUCAGAGGAAGCACGGGCUAAGUUCGUGCCAGCCGCCGCCGUAA